UUUAUAAUCUGGSGCUUUCAGCGUCCGAGUUGUAAUCUCUAGAAGUGUUUUCCGCGUUGGACCGCACAUAAGUCUGUUGGAAUACAGCGGCACAGUGGKGAGACCCCCGUUCACGGUGCGGAUGCCCAAUGCUUUGUGAUACACUUUCKAARAGWSGAGUUGUUUGGGAAUGCRSCUCAAAUUGGGUGGKAAAUUCCAUCUAAAGCUAAAUAUUGGSGAGAGACCGAUAGCGAACAAGUACCGUGAGGGAAAGAUGAAAAGCACUUUGGAAAGAGAGUUAACAGUACGUGAAAUUGUUGGAAGGGAAACGCUUGAAGUCAGACUUGCUAUUCGGGGCUUGCKCCGAGUUGCAGGCCASCAUCAGUUUUUCGGGGCGGAAAAUCACGGAUUGAAGGUAGCAGUUUCGGCUGUGUUAUAGCUUUCCGUUGGAUACGUCCUGGGGGACUGAGGAACGCASUGUGCUUUUAGCGAGGGCUUCGGCUCUUUCAC
This 489-nucleotide ribosomal RNA is filed under the name Rhodosporidiobolus aff. ruineniae PL4W8. RNAcentral's name for it is "partial large subunit ribosomal RNA". It matches the Rfam family "Eukaryotic large subunit ribosomal RNA", at positions 114 to 590 of the family's 3401-position model. Lineage: Eukaryota; Fungi; Basidiomycota; Microbotryomycetes; Sporidiobolales; Sporidiobolaceae. The record is from RNAcentral.